GAUGAACGCUGGCGGCGUGCUUAACACAUGCAAGUCGAACGGAAAGGCCCAAGCUUGCUUGGGUCCUCGAGUGGCGAACGGGUGAGUAACACGUGGGUGAUCUGCCCUGCACUUCGGGAUAAGCCUGGGAAACUGGGUCUAAUACUGGAUAGGACCACUUCUUGGAUGUUGUGGUGGAAAGUUUUUUCGGUGUGGGAUGAGCUCGCGGCCUAUCAGCUUGUUGGUGGGGUAAUGGCCUACCAAGGCGUCGACGGGUAGCCGGCCUGAGAGGGUGUACGGCCACAUUGGGACUGAGAUACGGCCCAGACUCCUACGGGAGGCAGCAGUGGGGAAUAUUGCACAAUGGGCGCAAGCCUGAUGCAGCGACGCCGCGUGGGGGAUGACGGCCUUCGGGUUGUAAACUCCUUUCCCUAGGGACGAAGCGUUUUGUGACGGUACCUGGAGAAGAAGCACCGGCUAACUACGUG
This 467-nucleotide ribosomal RNA is filed under the name uncultured bacterium. RNAcentral's name for it is "partial 16S ribosomal RNA". It matches the Rfam family "Bacterial small subunit ribosomal RNA", at positions 28 to 507 of the family's 1533-position model. The record is from RNAcentral.